AUCAAUAAGCGGAGGAAAAGAAACAACAGGGAUUGCCCUAGUAACGGCGAGUGAAGCGGCAACAGCUCAAAUUUGAAAUCUGGCCCUUGGGUCCGAAUUGUAAUUUGUAGAGGAUGUUUCUGGCGACGUGUCUUCCGAGUUCCCUGGAACGGGACGCCAUAGAGGGUGAGAGCCCCGUCCGGUCGUACGCCUAGCCUCUGUGAAACUCCUUCGACGAGUCGAGUAGUUUGGGAAUGCUGCUCAAAAUGGGAGGUAUACGUCUUCUAAAGCUAAAUACCGGCCAGAGACCGAUAGCGCACAAGUAGAGUGAUCGAAAGAUGAAAAGCACUUUGAAAAGAGGGUUAAAUAGUACGUGAAAUUGCUGAAAGGGAAGCGCUCAUGACCAGACUUGGGCUCGGUGAAUCAUCCGGCGUUCUCGCCGGUGCACUUUGCCGGUCCAGGCCAGCAUCAGCUUGCCUCGGGGGAUAAAGGCUUCGGGAAUGUAGCUUCUUCGGAAGUGUUAUAGACCGUUGUGUAAUACCUGGGGCAGGCUGAGGUACGCGUUCUGCAAGGAUGCUGGCGUAAUGGUCAUCAGUGACCCGUCUUGAAACACGGACCAAGGAGUCGUCUUCGUAUGCGAGUGUUCGGGUGUCAAACCCCUACGCGUAAUGAAAGUGAACGUAGGAGAGAGCUUCGGCGCAUCUCCGACCGAUCCUGAUGUUCUCGGAUGGAUUUGAGUAAGAGCAUACGGGGCCGGACCCGAAAGAAGGUGAACUAUGCCUGUAUAGGGUGAAGCCAGAGGAAACUCUGGUGGAGGCUCGCAGCGGUUCUGACGUGCAAAUCGAUCGUCAAAUAUGGGCAUG
Molecule: ribosomal RNA, 842 nt
Filed under: Waltergamsia hennebertii
Lineage: Eukaryota; Fungi; Ascomycota; Sordariomycetes; Hypocreales; Bionectriaceae
Description: eukaryotic LSU rRNA
Rfam family: Eukaryotic large subunit ribosomal RNA
Source: RNAcentral